This 775-nucleotide ribosomal RNA is filed under the name uncultured Neocallimastigales. Its description in RNAcentral is "partial large subunit ribosomal RNA". It matches the Rfam family "Eukaryotic large subunit ribosomal RNA", at positions 23 to 634 of the family's 3401-position model. The record is from RNAcentral. Lineage: Eukaryota; Fungi; Neocallimastigomycota; Neocallimastigomycetes; Neocallimastigales.
GAGACUCUGUGCGCGUGCAUAUCAAUAAGCGGAGGAAAAGAAACUAACAAGGAUUCCCUUAGUAACGGCGAGUGAAGCGGGAAGAGCUCAAAUUUGAAAUCUUCAAGGUUCUACCUUGACGAAUUGUAGUUUAUAGAAGUGUUUUCUGUUAGUGGAGUGGCAGAAGUUCUUUGGAAUAGGACAUCAUAGAGGGUGAGAAUCCCGUAUUUGGUCAUUCCUCCUAGCGUUGUGAUACACUUUCAACGAGUCGGAUUGUUUGGGAAUGCAGUCCAAAAUGGGUGGUAAAUUUCAUCUAAAGCUAAAUAUUGGCGAGAGACCGAUAGCGAACAAGUACCGUGAGGGAAAGAUGAAAAGAACUUUGAAAAGAGAGUUAAACAGUACGUGAAAUUGUCAAAAGGGAAGCGUUUGACACCAGUGUUGUUUUUCCGAAAAUCAAUUACGAAUGUUUUGUUUUUGAGGAGUUAUGACUUCAUCGGCUUGCUUCUCUCUUUACGAAACUUUCUUAAUGCACUUUUCGGUUAACAAGUCAACAUCAAUUUCUUUUGUUGUAAAAGGGUAUGAGGAAGGUGGCUUUCUUUUCGGAGAAAGUGUUUAUAGCCUUGUAGCCUCUGCAAUCGGAGAGAUUGAGGUCUGCAGCGUAGAUCCUUCGGGGUUAGAUACAUUUGUGCUAAGUUAUAGCUUUUCAUAGACAACUUGUUGACUAUGUUUAGUCUUGUAGCUUACUCGCUUAUGCUAUUUUACCUACGCUUAGGAUGUUGAACUCUAUCACACACAG